Molecule: ribosomal RNA, 510 nt
Filed under: uncultured bacterium
Lineage: Bacteria
Description: bacterial SSU rRNA
Rfam family: Bacterial small subunit ribosomal RNA
Source: RNAcentral
GACGAACGCUGGCGGCGUGCCUAACACAUGCAAGUCGAACGAGGAUAGAGGAGAUUGCUCUUCUAUUCUAGUGGCGGACGGGUGAGUAACACGUGAGUAACCUGCCUUUCAGAGGGGGAUAACGUCUGGAAACGGACGCUAAUACCGCAUAACAUAGAGGUGUCGCGUGGCGCUUUUAUCAACGGAGCAAUCCGCUGAGAGAUGGACUCGCGCCCGAUUAGCUAGUUGGUGGGGUAAAGGCCUACCAAGGCGACGAUCGGUAGCCGGACUGAGAGGUUGAACGGCCACAUUGGGACUGAGACACGGCCCAGACUCCUACGGGAGGCAGCAGUGGGGGAUAUUGCACAAUGGGGGGAACCCUGACCGAGCAACGCCGCGUGAAGGAAGAAGGUUUUCGGAUUGUAAACUUCUGUUAUAAAGGAAGAACGGUACAUGGAGGGAAUGCCAUGUAAGUGACGGUACUUUAUGAGAAAGCCACGGCUAACUACGUGCCAGCCGCCGCGGUAAAAC